GCUCCCGGCUCUUCCCGUGGCUGUUCCUGCUCUCCUGUCCCUGCGUCCUUCCGUCAGACCCCCACCCCGCCCCGGCCGCAGGAGUCUUUUCCAGAAGAAUCAGUCCUUGUCUAACCACGCGCGGGUCUCACCCUCCUCCGUGAGCGCUGCAUUAAACUGUCCGGCUCUGGGGUCCUCCCCUGCCCACCAUGAGCCCAGCCUGUUCUGCCGAGUGUGGGAUACACCGAGAUUGUCUUAAGUCAGAGUGUUCUUUGAUGUGAGAGGUUGUAUACUUCGUGCCGCUUUCGGCUGGUAGAAUGAACUUUCUUCACAGUAUGGGGAUGUGUUUCGGAUUUGUGCUGAACACAGGGUUGUUGAUAAGGAGAUGUGGUUUUUAUUGCCGAGCAGGGCUUGCACAGAGCCAAGGCCUUUUCUGCUUUCCAUACUGCCACACUGGCGAGGAAUUUGGGAGUGCGUGGGAGGUUGAGGAGACACAGCUGGCACAGGUGACCCAGGCUGACCAAAGGGAUAAUCCAGACCUUAGGACAUCAUAAGUUUAUAAGGUGGGAGAAGGAGGAAAGGGGGGACAUUUAUUGUGAUGAGGUCUGUGUUCCCAAGUCACCACUAUAUAUGAUGGAGCCCUGCUCUCCUGGAGAUGGCUGAACAGCAGCCUGCCCAUGAAGAACAGUGAAUUAAUUAUUUGCUUUUAUUUAUUUGUGCGUUUGGUUUUUACUUUCCCUAUUAAACUGUCUUUAUCGAAACUCGUGAAUUUUCCAGCUUUUACCCUUCCAUUCUCCACCCUGAUCCUGCUGGUGGGGGAGUGACGAGCGGCCGCCUGGGGCUUGGUUGCUGGCUGGGGUGAACCUACCACAACUUUCAAGCCUAAUCAGCAGGAAAGGAGACCUUAUCAGUGGAACAGGCAGCUUAUAUAAAUAAAUAAAGAAGAAGAAAGAAGAAGAAGAAGAAAGGAGAAGAAGGAAGAAGAAAAGAUCCUUCGGUUCUCGACAGCAGGACAGGGAUCUGGCCUGUUGAUGUGGUUGCAGCUCACACUUGGGGGAGGAGUUAGCUGUGGUCACUGGAGCUGCUUGGCUGGAAGUUCAGCACCCUCAGCUUUCCCAUCUGGAACUGUCAGGAGAGGUGCGACGGAGCAGCAAUGUUCAUUCAUUCUGGAAUAAAUACGUGUUCAACGUGAGGGAUGUUCUUCCGAUGAUGCGAUACAGCACACAAGUAGAUGAGGAAGAGGAGACACAACACUGCUGUAGCUGUGAGGAAGACAAGGAGCCCAGCAAACAGAGAAGGUUUCAGAGGCUGCUGCAACUUCUGUCUCCUCCUCAACCUCUUUGGAUUAAAAUGACAGUAAGGGAAAAUUAUUAUUACUCACCUCCUUUUGAAAAUGUAUCUGUGGCCAAGUUUCUGCAUUGAAGUUGUAACCAUGUACAAGCAAGUAAUAAAUGAAAUUGGCUGAGAAACAGUAGGAUCUAGCAUAUAUUUCUUCAAAUUUGGGCAGCAUAAAC
This is a long non-coding RNA of Hirundo rustica (Barn swallow), 1493 nucleotides long. RefSeq lists it as uncharacterized. The transcript has 4 exons. Lineage: Eukaryota; Metazoa; Chordata; Aves; Passeriformes; Hirundinidae. The record is from RefSeq and is a predicted model, not a curated record.